Molecule: ribosomal RNA, 548 nt
Filed under: bacterium EP2.20
Lineage: Bacteria
Description: bacterial SSU rRNA
Rfam family: Bacterial small subunit ribosomal RNA
Source: RNAcentral
AGUGGCGCACGGGUGCGUAACGCGUAUGCAACCUACCCCAUACUGGGGGAUAGCCCGGGGAAACCCGGAUUAAUACCCCAUGGCAUAUAGAGACUGCAUGGUUUUUAUAUUAAAGAUUUAUUGGUAUGGGAUGGGCAUGCGUAGGAUUAGCUAGUUGGCGGGGUAACGGCCCACCAAGGCGACGAUCCUUAGGGGUUCUGAGAGGAAGGUCCCCCACACUGGCACUGAGAUACGGGCCAGACUCCUACGGGAGGCAGCAGUAGGGAAUAUUGGGCAAUGGGCGGAAGCCUGACCCAGCCAUGCCGCGUGCAGGAAGAAUGCCCUCUGGGUUGUAAACUGCUUUUAUCAGGGAAGAAAAGGCCCAUGCGUGGGACAUUGCCGGUACCUGAUGAAUAAGCACCGGCUAACUCCGUGCCAGCAGCCGCGGUAAUACGGGAGGGUGCAAGCGUUGUCCGGAUUUAUUGGGGUUUAAGGGGUGCGUAGGCCUGGCGUUUUAAGUCAGCGGGGAAAAGUUUGGGCCUCAACCCUUAAAAACGCCGAUGAUACUG